Oncorhynchus keta (chum salmon) is the source of this 3610-nucleotide long non-coding RNA. RefSeq lists it as uncharacterized. NCBI's taxonomy places the organism in Eukaryota, Metazoa, Chordata, Actinopteri, Salmoniformes, Salmonidae. The transcript has 2 exons. The record is from RefSeq and is a predicted model, not a curated record.
AGAGAAUAAAAUAGUACAAUUUGCAUUGCACAGAAUCACUUGCUUAGGGAUACUUCACCCAAAUUACAAAAUGGCAUUAUUGGAUUCCUUAACCUGUAAUUCUAUUGACCAGGUAUGACAGAAAUCCAUGCUUUGGUUAAGUUUCCUAAUGUCAUGGUACCUACAGUUGAAGUUGGAAGUUUACAUACACUUUAGCCAACUACAUUUGUUACAAUUCCUGACAUUUUAAUCCUAGUAAAAAUUCCCUGUUUUAGGUCAGUUAGGAUCACCACUGAUUUAUUUCAGCUUUUAUUUAUUUUUUAUUUUAUUUUUUUCUUUAUUUAACUAGGCGAGUCAGUCAAUGACGGCCUAGGAACAGUGGGUUAACUGCCUGUUCAGGGGCAGAACGACAGAUUUGUACCUUGUCGGCUCGGGGGUUUGAACUUGCAACCUUCCGGUUACUAGUCUAGCACUCUAACCACUAGGUUACCCUGCCGCCCCUUCAUCACAUUCCCAGUGGGUCAGAAGUUUACAUACACUCAAUUAGUAUGUUAGCAUUGCCUGUAAAUUGUUUUACUUCGGUCAAACAUUUCAGGUAGCCUUCCACAAGCUUCCCACAAUAAGUUGGGUGAAUUUUGGCCCAUUCCUCCAGACAGAGCUGGUGUAAGUGAGUCACGUUUGUAGGCCUCCUAGGCCUCCUAUCUCGUACACGCUUUUUCGGUUCUGCCCACAAAUUCUCUAUGGGAUUGAGGUCAGGGCUUUGUGAUGGCAACUCCAAUACCUUGAGUUUGUUGUCCUUAAAAGCCAUUUUGCCACAACUUUGGAAGUAUGCUUAGGGUCAUUUGUGCAUUUGGAAGACCCAUUUGUGACCGCUUUAACUUCCUGACUGAUGUCUUGAGAUGUUGCUUCAAUAUAUGCACAAUUUUCCUUUCUCAUUAUGCCAUCUAUUUUGUGAAGUGCACCAGUCCCUACUGCAGCAAAGCACCCCCACAACAUGAUGCUGCCACCCCCGUGCUUCACAGUUGGGAUGGUGUUCUUCGGCUUGCAAUCCUCACCCUUUUUCCUCCAAACAUAACGAUGGUCAUUAUGGCCAAACAGUUCUAUUUUUGUUUUAUCAGACCAGAGGACAUUUCUCCAAAAAGUAAGAUCUUUGUCCCCAUGUGCAGUUCCAAGCCGUGUUUGAACUUGCGUACUAUUGUUUGUACAGAUGAACGUGGUACCUUCAGGCGUUUGGAAAUUGCUCCCAAGGGUGAACCAGACUUGUGGAGGUCUACACAUUUUUUUCUGAGGUCUUGGCUGAUUUAUUUUGAUUUUCCCAUGAUGUCAAGCAAAGAGGCACGGAGUUUGAAGCGCCCCGUGCCACCGCUGCCUCUCACAGAUGAGUGACUUGUGGGGCUAGUCGCUCCUCGGGGACCUGCUCGGUCAGUAGGGAAGAAAGAGGAACACCCAGUCUCAGGGCUGGUUUCAGGUCAACAGGACCAUGACCCCUAUGGCCCACAAACACACAGAUAAUCACCACGGCUGGACUUAAGUGUAACAAAUUACAGCCACGCUCCAGGAAAGAGACAAGGGACUGUCCCAAAUGGCCUCCUAUUCCCUAUGUACUGCACUAUACUUUUGACCAUUCCCCAUAGGGGUCUGGUUAAAAGUAGAGUACUAUAUAUGGAAUAGGGUGCCAUUUGGACAUACAGUCUCCAAGGCCUCCAGGAAAUACUUUGAAUCAGUGUAAAUGAUGUCAAUCUGAAAGAAUAGAAUGAUUUUGAUUCAAGGGUACAAUACGCUUUACAAUAUGUGCUGAUAUACUAAAAAACUAAAAGGAAUUGUUUAAUUUACGUGUUUUAACUACUGCAUUAAUCGUUCCUAUGGCGAUGUUCUAUUGUUACAGACCCCGCUGGGGAUUGUCCUUUGACCUACAUCCUGGCAGGGUCCCCCACCCCUCUUUGUCACUGUUUAUUUGGUCUGCUCACACACUGGUUUGGAGCGCAGCUGUUGACAGACACUCAAGAGCACUAUGUGGACACUUAUUCAUGUCCAGCUGAACUCUGUGUACAAACACAGGGCCGUACUCAAAAACAAUGACACUUCCCAUACCUCACCAGAUUUACUGUAUCCAAUAGCUAUUUUACCAUUCAUAUACAUCAUAAUAUAUAAUAUAAUAAUAUAUGCCAUUUAGCUGACGCUUUUAUCCAAAGCGACUUACAGUCAUGUGUGCAUACAUUCUACGUAUGGGUGGUCCCGGGGAUCGAACCCACUACCCUGGCGUUACAAGCGCCAUGCUCUACCAACUGAGCUACAGAAGGAAGUUCGUCUCUGCUUACUCUAACUUUACUGUUUCUUAUCAUUCGCUUUAAGUUGGUUACUCUAACCUCAAAGUAGUGUUACAGAAAGACUAAUACUGUACAUAAUUUCCUAUGCAGAUUGUGUGGGGGCACACACACACACACUACAUGGCUAAAGGUAUGUGGACACCUGCUCAUCAAACAUCUCAUUCCAAAAUCAUGGGCAUUAAUAUGGAGUCCCCCUUUGCUGCUAUAACAGCUUCCACUCUGGGAAGGCUUUCCACUAUAUGUUGGAACUCAGGGGCCUAGCCCGAACCAUGAAAAACAACCCCAGACCAUUAUUGCUCCUCCACCAAACUUUACAGUUGGCACUAUGCAUUAGGGUAGGUAGCCUUCUCCUGGCGACCGCCAAACCCAGAUUCGGCCAUCGGACUGCCAGAUGGUGAAACAUGAUGCAUCACUCCGGAGAACACAUUUCCACGACUCCAGAGUCCAAUGGCGGCGAGCUUUAUCUUAGACUUGUGUGCGGCUGCUUGACCAUGGAAACCCAUUUCAUGAAGCUCCCAUCUAACAGUUUGUGUGCUGACGUUGCUUCCAUAGGCAGUUUGGAACUCAGUAGUGAGUGUUGCAACCUAGGACAGACAAUUUUGUUUCCACUUCACAAUAACAGCACUUACUGUUGACAGGGGCAACUCUAGCAGGGCAGAAUGUGAGAAACUGACUUGUUGGAAAGGGGGAUACUAGUCAGUUGUACAACUGAAUGCCUUCAACUGAAAUGUGUCUUCCGCAUUUAACCCAACCCCUCUGAAUCAGAGACGUGCAGGGGGUUGCCUUAAUCGACACCCACGGCACCCGGGGAAUAGUGGGUUGACUGCCUUGCUCAGGGACAGAAUGACAGAUUGUGACCUUGUCAGCUUGGGGAGUUGAUCCAGCAACCUUUCGGUUACUGGCCCAAUGCUCUAAACACUAGGCUACCGGGAAGGUGGCAUCCUAUGACUUUGCCAUGUUGCAAGUCACUGAGCUCUUCAGUACAGGCCAUUCUACUGCCAAUUUUUGUCUAUGGAGAUUGCAUGGUGGUGUGCUCGAUUUUAUACACCUGUCAGCAAUGGGUGUGGCUGAAAAUGGCAAAUCCACUAAUUUAAAGGGAUGUCCACAUACUUUUGACCAUGUAGUGUACAUCCCCGCUCACACACAUUGUCGUACAACAAACACUAUAAACACAGACUGACAGGCGGGUGGGUGUCUGUCCUCACACCUGUUGCCUGCCAUAAAGACUGCUGGGCGGGUUACCCUGUUGGGCCACCACUACAACAGCAGCAUUGUGCCUAGGAAGCCCUGACCACAGAUUGCAU